RNAcentral lists this ribosomal RNA (758 nucleotides) under uncultured bacterium. RNAcentral's name for it is "bacterial SSU rRNA". It matches the Rfam family "Bacterial small subunit ribosomal RNA", at positions 28 to 776 of the family's 1533-position model. The record is from RNAcentral.
GAUGAACGCUAGCUACAGGCUUAACACAUGCAGGUCGAGGGGCAUCAGGAAGAAAGCUUGCUUUCUUUGCUGGCGACCGGCGCACGGGUGAGUAACACGUAUCCAACCUGCCCUUUACUCGGGGAUAGCCUUUCGAAAGAAAGAUUAAUACCCGAUAGCAUAAUGAUUCCGCAUGGUUUCAUUAUUAAAGGAUUCCGGUAAAGGAUGGGGAUGCGUUCCAUUAGGUUGUUGGUGAGGUAACGGCCCACCAAGCCUUCGAUGGAUAGGGGUUCUGAGAGGAAGGUCCCCCACAUUGGAACUGAGACACGGUCCAAACUCCUACGGGAGGCAGCAGUGAGGAAUAUUGGUCAAUGGGCGUUAGCCUGAACCAGCCAAGUAGCGUGAAGGAUGAAGGCUCUAUGGGUCGUAAACUUCUUUUAUAUAAGAAUAAAGUGCAGUAUGUAUACUGUUUUGUAUGUAUUAUAUGAAUAAGGAUCGGCUAACUCCGUGCCAGCAGCCGCGGUAAUACGGAGGAUCCGAGCGUUAUCCGGAUUUAUUGGGUUUAAAGGGAGCGUAGGUGGACUGGUAAGUCAGUUGUGAAAGUUUGCGGCUCAACCGUAAAAUUGCAGUUGAUACUGUCAGUCUUGAGUACAGUAGAGGUGGGCGGAAUUCGUGGUGUAGCGGUGAAAUGCUUAGAUAUCACGAAGAACUCCGAUUGCGAAGGCAGCUCACUGGACUGCAACUGACACUGAUGCUCGAAAGUGUGGGUAUCAAACAGG